CAUUAUGAAGCUAUAUGAGCAUUAACCUUUUAAGUUAAAAUUUGAAGGAUAAGGCCUUCCAUAAUGA
RNAcentral lists this transfer RNA (67 nucleotides) under Trichys fasciculata (long-tailed porcupine). RNAcentral describes it as "tRNA-Lys". The record is from RNAcentral. Lineage: Eukaryota; Metazoa; Chordata; Mammalia; Rodentia; Hystricidae.